AGUCUACGGGAGGCAGCAGUUAAGAAUAUUCCGCAAUGGACGAAAGUCUGACGGAGCGACGCCGCGUGGAUGAAGAAUGCCGAAAGGUUGUAAAAUCCUUUUCUGAAGGAGCAUAAUGAGAGUACUUUAGGAAUAAGGGACGGCUAAAUACGUGCCAGCAGCCGCGGUAAUGACU
This 175-nucleotide ribosomal RNA is filed under the name uncultured bacterium. RNAcentral describes it as "partial 16S ribosomal RNA". It matches the Rfam family "Bacterial small subunit ribosomal RNA", at positions 335 to 527 of the family's 1533-position model. The record is from RNAcentral.